UCCUCGAGGCCAAAACCCUCUUUAUUUAG
RNAcentral lists this non-coding RNA (29 nucleotides) under Rattus norvegicus (Norway rat). Lineage: Eukaryota; Metazoa; Chordata; Mammalia; Rodentia; Muridae. The record is from RNAcentral.